CGCUGACGAUUGCCAUCCCUUGUAGCUGAACUUUUCACUCUGUAUACCCUGAGGCGUGUUGCCCAUCGGGAAAGAGAGCCAUCUAGUGAGUUCUAGUUGCAUCUCUGAUAGAGGAUUCAACCUCAAUUCUGCUAGUCCAAAAAUAUACUGGCCCAGCUUAUUAUGGAUGCUGUGAUAUAAGACAUGGUCCUUAUCUGGAAGGAACAUACCUUUUGAUAAAGAUACCAGAGAGUAGAGAAUUUAUUAGG
This is a long non-coding RNA of Condylura cristata (star-nosed mole), 248 nucleotides long. RefSeq lists it as uncharacterized. The record is from RefSeq and is a predicted model, not a curated record. NCBI's taxonomy places the organism in Eukaryota, Metazoa, Chordata, Mammalia, Eulipotyphla, Talpidae. The transcript has 3 exons.